This 251-nucleotide unclassified non-coding RNA is filed under the name Glomeraceae sp. RNAcentral describes it as "partial contains 5.8S ribosomal RNA and internal transcribed spacer 2". The stretch from base 1 to 71 matches the Rfam family "5.8S ribosomal RNA", at positions 84 to 154 of the family's 154-position model. Lineage: Eukaryota; Fungi; Glomeromycota; Glomeromycetes; Glomerales; Glomeraceae. The record is from RNAcentral.
GUGAAUCAUCGAAUUUUUGAACGCAAAUUGCGCUUCCUGGUAUCCCUGGAAGUAUGCCUGUUUGAGGGUCAGUAUUAACAAAAAAUCGGUUUGGUUGCAAAUUGUUUCGUUUUCGGUGUUUUGGCUUAUCUUAACUUAUUUGGUUAAGGGGCUUAUAAUUGACCUUUUUUGCGCAUUUUUAGAUGUACAUAAAUUUUUUUUUUAUUCGUCUGUUCUAAUUGCCAAAAUCUUAUUAGAUCAGAUAACAUCGU